AGCAGCCGCGGUAAUUCCAGCUCCAAUAGCGUAUAUUAAAGUUGUUGCAGUUAAAAAGCUCGUAGUUGAAUUUCGGGGUCAGUAGGUUGGUCGUGCCACUGGUAUGCACUGGCCUCACUGAUUCCCUCCUUCUUGUAGAACCGUAAUGCCAUUAGUUUGGUGUUGCGGGGAAACAGGACUGUUACUUUGAAAAAAUUAGAGUAGUUUAAAGCAGGCUAACGCCUGAAUACAUUAGCAUGGAAUAAUGAAAUAGGACGUUCGAUCCUAUUUUGUUGGUUUCUAGGUAUUGACGUAAUGAUUAAUAGGGAUAGUUGGGGGCAUUAGUAUUCAAUUGUCAGAGGUGAAAUUCUUGGAUUUAUUGAAGACUAACUACUGCGAAAGCAUUUGCCAAGGAUGUUUUCAUUAAUCAAGA
Molecule: ribosomal RNA, 412 nt
Filed under: uncultured Glomeromycotina
Lineage: Eukaryota; Fungi; Glomeromycota
Description: SSU rRNA
Rfam family: Eukaryotic small subunit ribosomal RNA
Source: RNAcentral